CGUAGGGGGCUAGCGUUGUCCGGAAUCAUUGGGCGUAAAGCGCGCGUAGGCGGCCCGGUAAGUCCGCCGUAAAAGUCAAAGGCUCAACCUUUGAAUGUCAGUGGAUACUGCCGGGCUAGAGUCCGGAAGAGGCGAGUGGAAUUCCUGGUGUAGCGGUGGAAUGCGCAGAUAUCAGGAGGAACACCAACGGCGAAGGCAGCUCGCUGGGACGGUACUGACGCUGAGGCGCGAAAGCGUGGGGAGCGAACAGGAUUAGAUACCCUGGUAGUCCACGCCGUAAACGAUGGGCACUAGGUGUGGGAGGUGUCGACUCCUCCCGUGCCGGCGCUAACGCAUUAAGUGCCCCGCCUGGGGAUACGGCCGCAAGGCUA
This 371-nucleotide ribosomal RNA is filed under the name uncultured organism. RNAcentral's name for it is "bacterial SSU rRNA". It matches the Rfam family "Bacterial small subunit ribosomal RNA", at positions 526 to 896 of the family's 1533-position model. The record is from RNAcentral.